Molecule: long non-coding RNA, 581 nt
Filed under: Sus scrofa (pig)
Lineage: Eukaryota; Metazoa; Chordata; Mammalia; Artiodactyla; Suidae
Description: lncRNA (ENSSSCG00050000512.1)
Source: RNAcentral
GGGAGAAGCCCAUAUUCUGCGCCGGCUGCAAAUAGAAAAGUGAAUGAAAUAGCAACAGAGAUAGAAAAGGGAGCCUGGGGAUGCAACAAUUACUGUAUGGAGGAGGCGCAGCGCCGGUCCAGCUUGUUUAAAUGUGAAAUAGUUGGUAGAUUUAGAAUUCUAAGUAUUUUUCUCCUGACCGUGGCAAACAAAAAUGGUUCCACUAGCGUGCCAGUCAGUAGAAUAGAAAAUAUUUGGGAGCAGGAAAUGAAGAGGGAGGAAGAAAAAGCAGGUGGGGUGGGGCGGAAGGCGAGAGAGACCAGACAGAACCUGGCCAAGACAAAGAAUGAAAGGGAACAGGCAGGAGCUGCGCCGUGGAUCAAAUGUACUCAGUAAUUGCAGAGUCACUGCUACCCUCUUACCUCUAAACAGAGCAGAUUAAAAUAGCAUGAACAGCUAUAAUAACAGGUUUGGGAUUCAGCGUUUUACAGCCAGAAAAAUGCUUAUGGAAAUAAGGAUUUUGCUGACUCUUUUCAAAGUGAAGUAAAGAAGAGAGAAAUAGGUAGUCCUGGAGUCAGAGAAUGAACAGUGUAGACCUCGGC